UUAGUUUUCAGGACAUCAGGUCACCAAUAAGAUUUGCCCCCACAAUAACAUGAGAGAUGAAGAUGAGCCUGGCCGUGCUGUCCUCCCACUUGUACAGGAUCCUUUGCUCCAAGGUGCCUUGGAGGAAUCGGUGGCUUCUUCCUCUGUGAAGGCGGCCGGACGCCCUCCUCCAGCUGCAUCAGCCGUGCCACGUCGGAAGGAAUAAGCUUGUGUUUCACCCCUGAAGAAGGGGGCUGGUAGUUGCCGUUGUUGUUGUGACAGUUCAUCAGAGGUGGGAUGUUCAUUACGGGUUUGCGCUCACAGAUCAAAGGCACCUGAGGACCGACAGGGUUACAGGAAGGAAAGAAGGAAGGGAAUUAGGAAGUGAAAGAAAAAAAUGAAAGAAUGUCAGGAAAGGUAGGCUUUAGGUAGGAACUAUUAUAUAGUAUUAUAUUGUGAAGAAGUGUAGAAUUUAUUAAGUAAAUAUAAAAAGUAAUUACAGACAAAAACAUCCUUCCAAAAUAUUUGCUUUAAUGGAGUGUUUUGACAUUUAAAGAAACAGAAUGAUGUCAUGUUGUUUUAUAGUUUCAGAAAGUAGUAUUGACAGUACUGACAACUUUUAAUCGUAACAGCUCAAUCAAUCAGAACCAUUCCUCGCUGUUUUGAAGUACCCUUUUAAUGAUGAACUUAGUUUGUGUCACAACUGUGCAAGUCUCAUAGUUGUAUCACUUUCUGCAGAGAAAAGAACUGUGGCCAUAAUUAAAACUCACCCCAU
Molecule: long non-coding RNA, 754 nt
Organism: Sander lucioperca (pikeperch)
Lineage: Eukaryota; Metazoa; Chordata; Actinopteri; Perciformes; Percidae
Exons: 2
Source: RefSeq, a predicted model, not a curated record